GUGAGGAAUAUUGGUCAAUGGGCGAGAGCCUGAACCAGCCAAGUAGCGUGAAGGAUGAAGGUUCUAUGGAUUGUAAACUUCUUUUAUACGGGAAUAAAACCUCCCACGUGUGGGAGCUUGUAUGUACCGUAUGAAUAAGCAUCGGCUAACUCCGUGCCAGCAGCCGCGGUAAUACGGAGGAUGCGAGCGUUAUCCGGAUUUAUUGGGUUUAAAGGGAGCGCAGACGGGAGAUUAAGUCAGCUGUGAAAGUUUGCGGCUCAACCGUAAAAUUGCAGUUGAUACUGGUUUCCUUGAGUGCGGUUGAGGUGUGCGGAAUUCGUGGUGUAGCGGUGAAAUGCUUAGAUAUCACGAAGAACCCCGAUUGCGAAGGCAGCACACUAAGCCGUAACUGACGUUCAUGCUCGAAAGUGUGGGUAUCAAACAGGAUUAGAUACCCCUGUAGUCC
This 445-nucleotide ribosomal RNA is filed under the name uncultured bacterium. RNAcentral describes it as "bacterial SSU rRNA". It matches the Rfam family "Bacterial small subunit ribosomal RNA", at positions 354 to 796 of the family's 1533-position model. The record is from RNAcentral.